RNAcentral lists this ribosomal RNA (463 nucleotides) under Vreelandella stevensii. RNAcentral's name for it is "partial 16S ribosomal RNA". It matches the Rfam family "Bacterial small subunit ribosomal RNA", at positions 339 to 795 of the family's 1533-position model. The record is from RNAcentral. Lineage: Bacteria; Pseudomonadati; Pseudomonadota; Gammaproteobacteria; Oceanospirillales; Halomonadaceae.
CUACGGGGGCUGCAGUGGGGAAUAUUGGACAAUGGGCGAAAGCCUGAUCCAGCCAUGCCGCGUGUGUGAAGAAGGCCUUCGGGUUGUAAAGCACUUUCAGUGGGGAAGAAAGCCUUGGGGCUAAUACCCUCGAGGAAGGACAUCACCCACAGAAGAAGCACCGGCUAACUCCGUGCCAGCAGCCGCGGUAAUACGGAGGGUGCGAGCGUUAAUCGGAAUUACUGGGCGUAAAGCGCGCGUAGGCGGUCUGAUAAGCCGGUUGUGAAAGCCCCGGGCUCAACCUGGGAACGGCAUCCGGAACUGUCAGGCUAGAGUGCAGGAGAGGAAGGUAGAAUUCCCGGUGUAGCGGUGAAAUGCGUAGAGAUCGGGAGGAAUACCAGUGGCGAAGGCGGCCUUCUGGACUGACACUGACGCUGAGGUGCGAAAGCGUGGGUAGCAAACAGGAUUAGAUACCCCGGUAGUC